CACCGCGGUUAUACGAGAGGCCCAAGCUGACAGUUUUCGGCGUAAAGAGUGGUUAAUGGAUCCUUAAACUAAAGCCGAACGUCUUCAAAGCCGUUUAACGCAUUCGAAGAUAUGAAGCCCAUCCACGAAGGUGGCUUUAUGACUUUUGAACCCACGAAAGCUGGGGAA
This 168-nucleotide ribosomal RNA is filed under the name Verulux cypselurus (swallowtail cardinalfish). RNAcentral's name for it is "partial 12S rRNA". The record is from RNAcentral. Lineage: Eukaryota; Metazoa; Chordata; Actinopteri; Kurtiformes; Apogonidae.